Molecule: transfer RNA, 81 nt
Rfam family: tRNA
About the family: Transfer RNA (tRNA) molecules are approximately 80 nucleotides in length.
Source: Rfam
GGCGGAGUGUCGGAGUGGUUAUCGAGAUAGACUAGAAAUCUAUUGCCUUCGGGCGCGCAGGUUCGAAUCCUGUCUCCGUCG